This is a long non-coding RNA of Glycine soja, 585 nucleotides long. RefSeq lists it as uncharacterized. The record is from RefSeq and is a predicted model, not a curated record. Lineage: Eukaryota; Viridiplantae; Streptophyta; Magnoliopsida; Fabales; Fabaceae. The transcript has 2 exons.
GACAGCAAAUUGGGCAAAGUAGAACCACAAAAAACAUAUAAUUUAGAAACAACAAGAUGAGUUAAUUUAUAGUUCUUGCUAUGGAAAGAGGUGGCGGCGAUGGUGGGUCUAGUAGAUGUCCACGGCGACCUCGGGAACUUCCCUAGUAUUUGCUAAAAAUCGUGUCUUUCUCUCUUUAAUUCCAACUAUCCAAACUUGUGAUUGGCUAUCCCUUGACGGGAAUACACAAGCACGGAUUGCCAAUUUACCAAAUUUCAUUACUGAAACUGGUUUUACUUGCAGGUAUUUGGGAGAGAACGCGCAACUAAAGGUUAUUAAGAAUGCAGGGCAUUCUCUCAGUGUAGAGAAGCCUAAGGAGAUGUACAAGAAUAUAAAAUGCUUCCUUAUGGAUCCCACUACUCCAACGGUGCAAAAAAAAAAAAAAAAAAAAACCAAUGUAAUGGUAGCUAAGGGGAUUAGCAGAGAAAUGGAAGAUAUUUAUUUUUCAGCAUUGUGAAUAUGCUUGUGUUUCUAUUGUUUAUUAUAUGCUGUUAUCAGCCAUGCAGUAUUUUUAUGUUAAAAUAAUUGUUGUGAAUUGUUGUAUUA